UACGGGGGGAGCAAGCGUUGUUCGGAUUUACUGGGCGUAAAGGGCGCGUAGGCGGUUUUGUAAGUCUGUCGUGAAAGCCCCGGGCUCAACCUGGGAAUUGCGAUGGAGACUGCAAGGCUUGAAUCUGGCAGAGGGGGGUAGAAUUCCACGUGUAGCAGUGAAAUGCGUAGAGAUGUGGAGGAACACCGAUGGCGAAGGCAGCCCCCUGGGUCAAGAUUGACGCUCAUGCACGAAAGCGUGGGGAGCAAACAGG
This 253-nucleotide ribosomal RNA is filed under the name uncultured bacterium. RNAcentral's name for it is "partial 16S ribosomal RNA". It matches the Rfam family "Bacterial small subunit ribosomal RNA", at positions 524 to 776 of the family's 1533-position model. The record is from RNAcentral.